AGCACAUCCUUUGUACUCAUUUAGAAACGUAACUCUGAAUUUCUCUGUCUCUGCAAAGGGGUAAUUCCUGGGUGUUCUUCAGUGGUGAGUGAAGGCAUUUUUGCACAUGCUAUCGGAUGAACUGAGUCUAGAAUUUUGGUGAGACAUAUUUGAUACCGAAAAAAGUGAACCCCAGGAGAGGGCUCCAAGCUUCAGCUCUUGUCUGAGACUGUCCUGCACUGUGGCUGUAUGAUUACCAUAGCCCUUGACUUCUGAAUGGCAAAUGGCACCUGAAAGAGAAAUCACUAAGUCACAGGGUCGGCUCCAUCCUACUCCUCUAUACUAUACAGAUAAAGCCACAAUGUAAGGUUCCAGGUGGCCACACUUAUUUGGAGACACCAUUUAACACGGUUCUGCUUCUACUUCCAUGAGAACCUAGUGAAGAAGACACAGCCAGAGCUUUGAUCAAAGAUUCCAAAUGCAAAUACAACUAACCACCCAACUGGUCCCAUCAGCCAAUGUAUCUCUUUGUUACCUCAAGGGAGAUUGAUUUACGCUUUCAUCAAUAAAUCUUCAUAUUUUCAA
This 564-nucleotide long non-coding RNA is filed under the name Mus musculus (house mouse). RNAcentral's name for it is "RIKEN cDNA 1700023F02 gene (1700023F02Rik)". Lineage: Eukaryota; Metazoa; Chordata; Mammalia; Rodentia; Muridae. The record is from RNAcentral.